This 253-nucleotide ribosomal RNA is filed under the name uncultured bacterium. Its description in RNAcentral is "partial 16S ribosomal RNA". It matches the Rfam family "Bacterial small subunit ribosomal RNA", at positions 524 to 776 of the family's 1533-position model. The record is from RNAcentral.
UACGGGGGGGGCAAGCGUUGUUCGGAAUUACUGGGCGUAAAGGGUUCGUAGGUGGCCAACUUAGUCAGACGUGAAAUCCCUCAGCUUAACUGGGGAACUGCGUCUGAUACUGGAUGGCUCGAGUGCAGGAGAGGAACGCGGAAUUCCAGGUGUAGCGGUGAAAUGCGCAGAUAUCAGGAGGAACACCGAUGGCGAAGGCAGGUCUCUGGGCAUUAACUGACGCUGAGGAGCGAAAGCAUGGGGAGCGAACAGG